This 465-nucleotide ribosomal RNA is filed under the name uncultured bacterium. Its description in RNAcentral is "partial 16S ribosomal RNA". It matches the Rfam family "Bacterial small subunit ribosomal RNA", at positions 28 to 507 of the family's 1533-position model. The record is from RNAcentral.
GACGAACGCUGGCGGCGUGCUUAACACAUGCAAGUCGAACGGAAAGGCCCUGCUUGCAGGGUCCUCCAGUGGGCAACGGGUGAGUAACUCGUGGGUGAUCCGCCCUGUACUUCUUGAUAAGCCUGGGAAACUGGGUCCAAUACCGGAUAGGACCCACUUUCAGCGGGUUGGUUGGAAAGUUUUUUCGGUGUAGGCUGAGCUCGCGGCCUAUCAGCUUGUUGGUGGGGUGAUGGCCUACCAAGGCGGCGACGGGUAGCCGGCCAGUGGGGGUGGACGGCCAUCUUGGGUCUGAGGGGCGGCCCAGGCGGCGACGGGUGGCAGCAGGGGGGAAGCUUGCACAAUGGGCGCAAGGCGGGUGAAGCGGGGCCGCGGGGGGGAUGACGGUCUUCGGGUUGUAGACUACUUGCGCGAGGGACCAAGGUUGUUGUGACGGUACCUAGAUAAGAAGCACCGGCUAACUACGUG